AAUAGAUACCCCGGUAGUCCACGCCGUAAACGAUGAGUGCUAGGUGUUGGGGGGAUCGCCCCCUCGGUGCCGAAGUUAACACAUUAAGCACUCCGCCUGGGGAGUACGGUCGCAAGACUGAAACUCAAAGGAAUUGACGGGGACCCGCACAAGCAGUGGAGUAUGUGGUUUAAUUCGAAGCAACGCGAAGAACCUUACCAGGUCUUGACAUCCCUCUGACCGGUCUAGAGAUAGGCCUUCCCUUCGGGGCAGAGGAGACAGGUGGUGCAUGGUUGUCGUCAGCUCGUGUCGUGAGAUGUUGGGUUAAGUCCCGCAACGAGCGCAACCCUUGAACUUAGUUGCCAGCACCUCGGGUGGGCACUCUAGGUUGACUGCCGGUGACAAACCGGAGGAAGGCGGGGAUGACGUCAAAUCAUCAUGCCCCUUAUGACCUGGGCUACACACGUACUACAAUGGCCGGUACAACGGGUCGCGAAGCCGCGAGGCGGAGCUAAUCCUACCAAAGCCGGUCUCAGUUCGGAUUGCAGGCUGCAACUCGCCUGC
Molecule: ribosomal RNA, 543 nt
Filed under: uncultured bacterium
Lineage: Bacteria
Description: bacterial SSU rRNA
Rfam family: Bacterial small subunit ribosomal RNA
Source: RNAcentral